UACGGAGGGUGCAAGCGUUGUCCGGAAUCACUGGGUGUAAAGGGUGUGCAGGCGGAAGUCUAAGUCGGAGGUGAAAGCUUGCCGCUUAACGGUAAAAUGGCCUUCGAUACUGGAUUGCUGGAGUUCGGAAGAGGUUGGUGGAAUUCGUGGUGUAGCGGUGAAAUGCAUAGAUAUCACGAAGAACAUCAGUGGCGAAGGCGGCCGACUGGGCUGGGAUUGACGCUGAGGCACGAGAGCGUGGGGAGCAAACAGG
RNAcentral lists this unclassified non-coding RNA (253 nucleotides) under uncultured Bacteroidota bacterium. RNAcentral's name for it is "uncultured Bacteroidetes bacterium contains 16S-23S intergenic spacer region". It matches the Rfam family "Bacterial small subunit ribosomal RNA", at positions 524 to 776 of the family's 1533-position model. Lineage: Bacteria; Pseudomonadati; Bacteroidota. The record is from RNAcentral.